GGGGACGUAGCUCAGCUGGGAGAGCACUUGAAUGGCAUUCAAGAGGUCGCGCGUUCGAUCCGCGUCGUCUCCA
Non-coding RNA from Spirochaetes bacterium GWF1_41_5, 73 nucleotides. Lineage: Bacteria; Pseudomonadati; Spirochaetota. The record is from Rfam.